GCGGAUGUGGCGGAAUUGGCAGACGCGCUAGAUUUAGGAUCUAGUACCUCGUGUAUGAAGGUUCGAAUCCUUUCAUCCGCACCA
Molecule: transfer RNA, 84 nt
Filed under: Pseudoramibacter porci
Lineage: Bacteria; Bacillati; Bacillota; Clostridia; Eubacteriales; Eubacteriaceae
Description: Eubacteriaceae bacterium RF-744-FAT-4 tRNA-Leu
Rfam family: tRNA
About the family: Transfer RNA (tRNA) molecules are approximately 80 nucleotides in length. Their secondary structure includes four short double-helical elements and three loops (D, anti-codon, and T loops). Further hydrogen bonds mediate the characteristic L-shaped molecular structure. tRNAs have two regions of fundamental functional importance: the anti-codon, which is responsible for specific mRNA codon recognition, and the 3' end, to which the tRNAs corresponding amino acid is attached (by aminoacyl-tRNA synthetases). tRNAs cope with the degeneracy of the genetic code in two manners: having more than one tRNA (with a specific anti-codon) for a particular amino acid; and 'wobble' base-pairing, i.e. permitting non-standard base-pairing at the 3rd anti-codon position.
Source: RNAcentral